Molecule: transfer RNA, 77 nt
Organism: Caenorhabditis elegans
Lineage: Eukaryota; Metazoa; Nematoda; Chromadorea; Rhabditida; Rhabditidae
Source: Ensembl
GCUUUACCUGUGGGCGCAAUAGGCAGCGCGUUCGGCUGUUAACCGAAAGGUUGGUGGUUCGAGCCCACCCGAGAGCG